UGGGGAAUUUUGGACAAUGGGCGAAAGCCUGAUCCAGCAAUGCCGCGUGUGUGAAGAAGGCCUUCGGGUUGUAAAGCACUUUUGUCCGGAAAGAAAUCCUUGGCUCUAAUACAGUCGGGGGAUGACGGUACCGGAAGAAUAAGCACCGGCUAACUACGUGCCAGCAGCCGCGGUAAUACGUAGGGUGCAAGCGUUAAUCGGAAUUACUGGGCGUAAAGCGUGCGCAGGCGGCUUGCUAAGACCGAUGUGAAAUCCCCGGGCUCAACCUGGGAACUGCAUUGGUGACUGGCAGGCUAGAGUAUGGCAGAGGGGGGUAGAAUUCCACGUGUAGCAGUGAAAUGCGUAGAGAUGUGGAGGAAUACCGAUGGCGAAGGCAGCCCCCUGGGCCAAUACUGAUGCUCAUGCACGAAAGCGUGGGGAGCAAACAGGAUUAGAUACCCUGGUAGUCCACGCCCUAAACCGAUGUCAACUAGUUGUUGGGGAUUCAUUUUCCUUAGUAACGUAGCUAACGCGUGAAGUUGACCGCCUGGGGAGUACGGUCGCAAGAUUAAAACUCAAAUGAAUUGACGGGGUCAUAGCUG
This 581-nucleotide ribosomal RNA is filed under the name uncultured bacterium. RNAcentral's name for it is "partial 16S ribosomal RNA". It matches the Rfam family "Bacterial small subunit ribosomal RNA", at positions 355 to 932 of the family's 1533-position model. The record is from RNAcentral.